Molecule: ribosomal RNA, 191 nt
Filed under: uncultured bacterium
Lineage: Bacteria
Description: partial 16S ribosomal RNA
Rfam family: Bacterial small subunit ribosomal RNA
Source: RNAcentral
AACCCGCCUACAUGAAGUUGGAAUUGCUAGUAAUGCAGAUCAGAAUGCUGCGGUGAAUACGUUCCCGGGCCUUGUACACACCGCCCGUCACACCAUGGGAGCCGGUAAUACCCGAAGUCAGUAGUCUAACCGCAAGGGGGACGCUGCCGAAGGUAGGAUUGGCGACUGGGGUGAAGUCGUAACAAGGUACC